RNAcentral lists this ribosomal RNA (492 nucleotides) under uncultured bacterium. RNAcentral describes it as "partial 16S ribosomal RNA". It matches the Rfam family "Bacterial small subunit ribosomal RNA", at positions 29 to 507 of the family's 1533-position model. The record is from RNAcentral.
AGUGAACGCUGGCGGUAGGCCUAACACAUGCAAGUCGAACGGCAGCACAGUAAGAGCUUGCUCUUACGGGUGGCGAGUGGCGGACGGGGGAGGAAUACAUCGGAAUCUACUUUUUCGGGGGGGAUAACGUAGGGAAACUUACGCUAAUACCGCAUACGACCUACGGGUGAAAGCAGGGGAUCUUCGGACCUUGCGCGAUUGAAUGAGCCGAUGUCGGAUUAGCUAGUUGGCGGGGUAAAGGCCCACCAAGGCGACGAUCCGUAGCUGCUCUGAGAGGAUGAUCAGCCAGCCUGGCUCUGAGACACGGUCCCCACUCCUGCGGGAGGACGCAGUGGGGAAUAUUGGACGAUGGGCGCAAGCCUGAUCCAGCCCUACCGCGUGGGUGAAGAAGGCCUUCGGGUUGUAGAGCCCUUUUGUUGGGAAAGAAGAGCAGCAGGUUAAUCCCCCACUGUUCUGACGGUACCCAAAGAAUAAGCACCGGCUAACUUCGUG